GGGGCUAUAGCUCAGUUGGGAGAGCACCUGCUUUGCACGCAGGGGGUCAGGAGUUCGAGUCUCCUUAGCUCCACCA
This 76-nucleotide transfer RNA is filed under the name Gammaproteobacteria bacterium. Its description in RNAcentral is "tRNA-Ala". It matches the Rfam family "tRNA". From Rfam's summary of the family: Transfer RNA (tRNA) molecules are approximately 80 nucleotides in length. Their secondary structure includes four short double-helical elements and three loops (D, anti-codon, and T loops). RNAcentral also lists the same sequence under 1 other name. The record is from RNAcentral. Lineage: Bacteria; Pseudomonadati; Pseudomonadota; Gammaproteobacteria.